UACGUAGGGGGCAAGCGUUGUCCGGAAUUAUUGGGCGUAAAGAGCGUGUAGGCGGUCCGGUAAGUCAGCUGUGAAAGUCAAGGGCUCAACCCUUGAAAGCCGGUUGAUACUGUCGGGCUAGAGUCCGGAAGAGGCGAGUGGAAUUCCCGGUGUAGCGGUGAAAUGCGCAGAUAUCGGGAGGAACACCAAUGGCGAAGGCAGCUCGCUGGGACGGUACUGACGCUGAGACGCGAAAGCUAGGGGAGCAAACAGG
RNAcentral lists this ribosomal RNA (253 nucleotides) under uncultured bacterium. RNAcentral describes it as "partial 16S ribosomal RNA". It matches the Rfam family "Bacterial small subunit ribosomal RNA", at positions 524 to 776 of the family's 1533-position model. The record is from RNAcentral.